UGUGAAAGCUUUCAUUGAAGAGGUGAACGUUUUGGUUUGAAGCCAGAUAUGAAGUUGAAUGUAUUUUCAUACCACCUCGAGCGAUAUAAUAUCGUGCCCGGUGGCGAUUUAUUUAUCAGAUAAUAUCGACAUUGACAUCCGAUACGAGAUGCGGCUUUGUAAUAGCAUUCUAAUGCAAAGUACAAUCCCUUCAAUCUUAAAUUUUAUAAGAACGUUACUACGCCCAGUACGCCU
This is a long non-coding RNA of Bradysia coprophila, 234 nucleotides long. NCBI's taxonomy places the organism in Eukaryota, Metazoa, Arthropoda, Insecta, Diptera, Sciaridae. The record is from RefSeq and is a predicted model, not a curated record.